RNAcentral lists this ribosomal RNA (722 nucleotides) under Enterobacter ludwigii. RNAcentral describes it as "bacterial SSU rRNA". It matches the Rfam family "Bacterial small subunit ribosomal RNA", at positions 55 to 768 of the family's 1533-position model. The record is from RNAcentral. Lineage: Bacteria; Pseudomonadati; Pseudomonadota; Gammaproteobacteria; Enterobacterales; Enterobacteriaceae.
AUGCAGUCGAACGGUAGCACAGAGAGCUUGCUCUCGGGUGACGAGUGGCGGACGGGUGAGUAAUGUCUGGGAAACUGCCUGAUGGAGGGGGAUAACUACUGGAAACGGUAGCUAAUACCGCAUAACGUCGCAAGACCAAAGAGGGGGACCUUCGGGCCUCUUGCCAUCAGAUGUGCCCAGAUGGGAUUAGCUAGUAGGUGGGGUAACGGCUCACCUAGGCGACGAUCCCUAGCUGGUCUGAGAGGAUGACCAGCCACACUGGAACUGAGACACGGUCCAGACUCCUACGGGAGGCAGCAGUGGGGAAUAUUGCACAAUGGGCGCAAGCCUGAUGCAGCCAUGCCGCGUGUAUGAAGAAGGCCUUCGGGUUGUAAAGUACUUUCAGCGGGGAGGAAGGUGUUGUGGUUAAUAACCGCAGCAAUUGACGUUACCCGCAGAAGAAGCACCGGCUAACUCCGUGCCAGCAGCCGCGGUAAUACGGAGGGUGCAAGCGUUAAUCGGAAUUACUGGGCGUAAAGCGCACGCAGGCGGUCUGUCAAGUCGGAUGUGAAAUCCCCGGGCUCAACCUGGGAACUGCAUUCGAAACUGGCAGGCUAGAGUCUUGUAGAGGGGGGUAGAAUUCCAGGUGUAGCGGUGAAAUGCGUAGAGAUCUGGAGGAAUACCGGUGGCGAAGGCGGCUUCCCUGGACAAAGACUGACGCUCAGGUGCGAAAGCGUGGGGAG